GACGAGAGAGGUCCGAUUCAACAUAUUGUCGAAAGAGAUUAUAUUCAAGAGAAUAAUAUAAAGGAAAAGGGAGAAUUGAAGCCAUGACAAGAAAGCUAAGAGGCUAAAAAAAAAUAAGAGAUGAAGAGGUGGGAAGAAGAGGAAACCUCAGAUAGGAAGAAAAAGAAAAGACGAGAGGAAGACGAAGCAAAGCGUUAAGGUAACGAAGCAAAGUGUUAAGGUAGUGAAGUUGUCGGAUGGAAUUCCGAAAAGCCUUAAUGGUGAAAAGACCGUGGUCAUUAAUGACCUAAUUAAUGCCUUAAAAGAGACAAAAAAAACGCGGGAGAUCGUGGCCGUCAAAAAGUAAAAAGACGGCUGGGAGGAAUAGACGGUAUGAGGCGAUUUGAAAUUAUGGCCUUGGAAUCCGAG
Molecule: long non-coding RNA, 408 nt
Filed under: Ananas comosus (pineapple)
Lineage: Eukaryota; Viridiplantae; Streptophyta; Magnoliopsida; Poales; Bromeliaceae
Description: long non-coding RNA (ACOM_LNC008704)
Source: RNAcentral